This 253-nucleotide ribosomal RNA is filed under the name uncultured bacterium. RNAcentral's name for it is "partial 16S ribosomal RNA". It matches the Rfam family "Bacterial small subunit ribosomal RNA", at positions 524 to 776 of the family's 1533-position model. The record is from RNAcentral.
UACGAAGGGGGCUAGCGUUGCUCGGAAUCACUGGGCGUAAAGCGCACGUAGGCGGCUUGUUAAGUCAGGGGUGAAAUCCUGGAGCUCAACUCCAGAACUGCCUUUGAUACUGGCGAGCUUGAGUCCGGGAGAGGUGAGUGGAACUGCGAGUGUAGAGGUGAAAUUCGUAGAUAUUCGCAAGAACACCAGUGGCGAAGGCGGCUCACUGGUCCGGUACUGACGCUGAGGUGCGAAAGCUAGGGGAGCGAACGGG